Molecule: ribosomal RNA, 409 nt
Filed under: uncultured Sporichthyaceae bacterium
Lineage: Bacteria; Bacillati; Actinomycetota; Actinomycetes; Sporichthyales; Sporichthyaceae
Description: bacterial SSU rRNA
Rfam family: Bacterial small subunit ribosomal RNA
Source: RNAcentral
UGGGGAAUAUUGGGCAAUGGAGGAAACUCUGACCCAGCGACGCCGCGUGCGGGAUGAAGGCCUUCGGGUUGUAAACCGCUUUCAGCAGGGAAGAAGCGAAAGUGACGGUACCUGCAGAAGAAGCACCGGCUAACUAUGUGCCAGCAGCCGCGGUAAUACAUAGGGUGCAAGCGUUGUCCGGAAUUAUUGGGCGUAAAGAGCUCGUAGGUGGUUCGUAACGUCGGGUGUGAAAAUCUGGGGCUCAACCCCAGACCUGCAUUCGAUACGGGCGAACUAGAGUGUGGUAGGGGAGACUGGAAUUCCUGGUGUAGCGGUGGAAUGCGCAGAUAUCAGGAGGAACACCAAUGGCGAAGGCAGGUCUCUGGGCCAUUACUGACACUGAGGAGCGAAAGCGUGGGGAGCGAACAGG